Molecule: long non-coding RNA, 136 nt
Organism: Herpailurus yagouaroundi (jaguarundi)
Lineage: Eukaryota; Metazoa; Chordata; Mammalia; Carnivora; Felidae
Exons: 3
Source: RefSeq, a predicted model, not a curated record
UUAAGUGUAAAAUGAAGGCAUUGGGGCACCUGGGUGGCUCAGUCAGUUAAGCAUCUGACUCUGAUUUUUGGCUCAGGUCAUGAUCUCAGGGUCGUGGGAUCGAACCUGGCGUGGGGCUCCAUGGACCUGGAACCUG